CAGCCGCGGUAAUUCCAGCUCUCAAAGUGCAUAGAAUUAUUGCUGCGGUUAAAAAGCUCGUAGUUGGAUCUGUGCCAUAGGACGUGGUCCACCUUCGGGUGCGUACUACGCUCCUAGGCUUUUUGCUGGUUUUCCCGUCGUAGCCUUCACUGGUUGCGGCGGGUGGCUGGCGAGUUUACUUUGAGAAAAUCAGAGUGCUCAAUACAGGCGUAUCGCUUGAAUGAUUGUGCAUGGAAUAAUAGAAAAGGAUUUCGGUCCUCUUUUAUUGGUUUUGUGGACUGAGAUAAUGGUUAACAGGGACAAACGGGGGCAUUCGUAUCUCUGCGUGAGAGGUGAAAUUCUUGGACCGUAGAGAGACGCCCUACUGCGAAAGCAUUUGCCAAGAAUGUCUUCAUUAAUCAAGAACGAAAGUCAGAGGUUCGAAGGCGAUCAGAUACCGCCCUAGUUCUGACCGUAAACGAUGCCAACUAGCGAUCCGCCGGUGGAUUUUUAGCCCUGGUGGGUAGCUUCCCGGAAACGAAAGU
RNAcentral lists this ribosomal RNA (524 nucleotides) under Acrobeloides nanus. RNAcentral describes it as "SSU rRNA". It matches the Rfam family "Eukaryotic small subunit ribosomal RNA", at positions 571 to 1104 of the family's 1831-position model. Lineage: Eukaryota; Metazoa; Nematoda; Chromadorea; Rhabditida; Cephalobidae. The record is from RNAcentral. RNAcentral also lists the same sequence under 1 other name.